This 472-nucleotide ribosomal RNA is filed under the name uncultured bacterium. Its description in RNAcentral is "partial 16S ribosomal RNA". It matches the Rfam family "Bacterial small subunit ribosomal RNA", at positions 28 to 507 of the family's 1533-position model. The record is from RNAcentral.
GACGAACGCUGGCGGCGUGCUUAACACAUGCAAGUCGAGCGCUGAAGCGUGGAGCUUGCACUGGGGGGGUUAGCGGCGGACGGGUGAGUAAUACGUGAGUAACCUGCCCUUGACUCUGGGAUAAGCUUGGGAAACUGGGUCUAAUACUGGAUAUGAUAUGCCACUGCAUGGUGGUGUGGUGAAAGGGUUUUUUUGGGUUUGGCUGGGCUGACGGCUUAUCGGCUUGUCGGGUGGGUAAGGGCAUACCAAGGCGAGGACGGGUAGCCGGCCCGAGAGGGGAGCCAGGCACAAUGGUACUGCGACACGGCGCAGACUCCAACGGGAGGCAGCAGGGGGGAGCAUUGCGCAAUGGGCGGAAGCCUGAUGCAGCGACGCCGCGUUCGGGAUGAUGGCUUUCGGGGUGUAAACCUCUUUCAGAGUGGAAGAAGCCGGAUUGACGGUACGUGCAGAAGAAGCGCCGGCUAACUACGUG